RNAcentral lists this ribosomal RNA (440 nucleotides) under uncultured bacterium. RNAcentral's name for it is "partial 16S ribosomal RNA". It matches the Rfam family "Bacterial small subunit ribosomal RNA", at positions 338 to 795 of the family's 1533-position model. The record is from RNAcentral.
CCUACGGGUGACAGCAGUGGGGAAUAUUGCACAAUGGGGGAAACCCUGAUGCAGCGACGCCGCGUGAGUGAAGAAGUAAUUAGUUAUGUAAAGCUCUAUCAGCAGGGAAGAAAAUGACGGUACCUGAGUAAGAAGCCACGGCUAAAUACGUGCCAGCAGCCGCGGGAAUACGUAGGGGGCAAGCGUUAUCCGGAUUUACUGGGUGUAAAGGGAGCGGAGACGGCAGUGCAAGUCUGGAGUGAAAGGCGGGGGCUCAACCCCCGGACUGCUCUGGAAACUGUACGGCUGGAGUGCAGGAGAGGUAAGUGGAAUUCCUAGUGUAGCGGUGAAAUGCGUAGAUAUUAGGAGGAACACCAGUUGCGAAGGCAGCUUACUGGACUGUAACUGACGUUGAGGCUCGAAAGCGUGGGUAGCAAACAGGAUUAGAUACCCUGGUAGUC